Molecule: long non-coding RNA, 458 nt
Organism: Helianthus annuus (common sunflower)
Lineage: Eukaryota; Viridiplantae; Streptophyta; Magnoliopsida; Asterales; Asteraceae
Exons: 3
Source: RefSeq, a predicted model, not a curated record
CUUUACUUUGCUUUCAUAAUUAAAUUGGUGUCGAAUUUUGGGUGCAGGCCAUGGAUACCAAAGACAAGGAGAGCAAAUAAUUAAUUGGACAUAGAGUUUUUGUUAUUGCUGAGAGGCAUGAGUGGAGCUGGUGGUUUGAGUGCGAAAAUCUGGUGGCAGAUGAGUUGUUAGUGGUUGUGGGCGGUGGUGAUUGUUAGCCAUACCAUUGUGGUGAUUAAGGAAUAGAGGGAUGGUUUUCAACAACCGGUGAGCCAUUUGUAGUAAAGGAGGAUGAUUUCCAGUUUCAUUCCAAGAGGAUGAAUGCGAUAGUGGAGUUAAAGAAGACAUCAUGAAAACAUCAUGAAGGUUUAGUUGACAAAAACUUAAUUUGUAACGAACAUUAUGUAGAUGUACUAUUGGGACGUGCUCAACUGUCUCAAAAUAUUAGGUUUAACAAAUCACACUUUAACGCUUCUACG